RNAcentral lists this ribosomal RNA (650 nucleotides) under Asparagopsis taxiformis. RNAcentral's name for it is "eukaryotic LSU rRNA". It matches the Rfam family "Eukaryotic large subunit ribosomal RNA", at positions 1264 to 1919 of the family's 3401-position model. Lineage: Eukaryota; Rhodophyta; Florideophyceae; Bonnemaisoniales; Bonnemaisoniaceae. The record is from RNAcentral.
GAAUCCGCUAAGGAGUGUGUAACAACUCACCUGCCGAAUGGACUAGCCCUGAAAAUGGAUGGCGCUGAAGCGGGUGGCCGAGACCACACCGUUUGACGAAUUGGCAACUCGUCGAAUGAGUAGGAGGGCGUGGCGGCCGUGGAGAAGCCGGUGGGCAAUCACUGGUGGAACGGCCGCGAGUGCAGAUCUUGGUGGUAGUAGCAAAUAUUCAAGUGAGUGAACAAACCUUGAAGGGUGAAGCGGGGAAGGGUUUUAUGUGAACAUUGAUUGGGCAUAAGUGAGUCGUUCCUAAGCUGCUGGUUUAUUCUCUCGGGAAUUUUUCUGGCGAAAGGGAAGCAGGUUGACAUUCCUGCACACGGAUGUGGAGGCGGUGACGCCGUUUGAGACAAACACGUUGGCGACAGCUCUGGGCAGAGUUAUCUUUUCUGUUUGACGUCAGGGUGCGCUGUGUGGAAUCCGCUUGUCGGGAGAAACACGCGUGCCCGGGCAGAGCGCCGGACUUUUCCGGCGUCCAGAUCGCUGUCGACAGCCCUUGAAACUUUGUCUGCUGAAGUGAACAAUCCACGCCGUGACGUACCGAUAACCGCAUCAGGUCCCCAAGGUGAACAGCCUCUACUCAAUAUGAACAAUGCAGGUAAGGGAAGUCGGCA